Neoarius graeffei (lesser salmon catfish) is the source of this 1339-nucleotide long non-coding RNA. RefSeq lists it as uncharacterized. The record is from RefSeq and is a predicted model, not a curated record. Lineage: Eukaryota; Metazoa; Chordata; Actinopteri; Siluriformes; Ariidae. The transcript has 2 exons.
AUAUACCAGGCAGGAGUCUCCAUGACAUAUGGGGGCGCUAUGGAGUCCCCUGGACACCCCUGGGGUCCAGCCCCUGUGGCUCAGUUUCAGUGCACAUAACUGGCAUGUGUACCAAAUUUAAUCCCACAUAGAGGGAUGAUCUAUAGUGAAUGUAACUCUCAGGUCAAUCAAUAACUUUUUGAGCCUGACUUUCAGAGCCUGACUCUGACUUCCUGGUUUACGCACUUCCUGCUUCGUUCGCGCCGAGUCCUUUUUCCCGCGAGUGCCGGCGUUAAUUACUAAUCUUUUUUUAACUUUUUUUUUUACAAAUAAAUUUCCAGUAUCCUCUUCAUUUUUAUUGUACUGUCGCUUUAAUUUUUGUACAUUUCACUUUCGCUUUCCUUUUUCCGGUUUUUUUCUCUUUCUUUUUUCGGAAGAACGCCGAGACCGGAAGCUUUCUUUUUCUCUCCUCCUGUGUAAAGUCCACAAGCGGAGGCCAUCCACAUCUGAUCUGCUUUAAUAUCAACAGAUCUUCAUUUAAGCCCAAAUCUGUCCCUCUGAGUUACAUGGAGUCAACAGGAAAUCUUUUGGUGGAGAGGGUGGAGACCUCGACUGGCUAUCGUAGCCUGCAGGGAAUCGGCCGUCAGACAUUCUGUCGCAUGUCCCAGACCCGGUGAAAUGUAACUGAAUUGUCUUGGCCAGCCCUAAGGGUCCCAUCUGCAUCUCAUCAUUGCUGAGGAGUGUGCUCCCAUCACCCAAUCAAGCAUCCAGCCAGAGCAGGUCAUGAUAUAUUUUACCAUAUUAACAUGCCAUUGUUGUGUGUUAUGCCUGAUGUAAAGACUCUCGUCUCUGUGAGCCUACCACACAGAUUUAAUACUUGUCAUUUUUAGGGCAUACCUAACAACAUGUUUUCUUUCUCCCUCUCCCCCCCCCCAAUCUGUCCCUCUGAGUUACAUGUUGAUCCUGGGAUUGAGAUGCUGGCCUCUUCUGCCCCUCGGACCUGCUUGAUCCAUCCUGGUGCCCUGUGUCUGGUCGGAGUUUUAUCGCACCGCUCCUGUGAAGGACGGCCCCAUGAGGACAGUUGAGGGUUAUACCUGUUAAAACUGUUAAUAUUAUAGUCAGGCUGUCUGUUGUUGCCCAAAUGAGGAUGGGUUCCCUUUUGAGUCUGGUUCCUCUCGAGGUUUCUUCCUCAUGUCGUCUGAGAGAGUUUUUCCUUGCCACCGUCGCCACAGGCUUGCUCAUUGGGGAUAGAUUAGGGAUAAAAUUAGCUCAUGUUUUAAGUCAUUCAAAUUCUGUAAAGCUGCUUUGCGACAAUGUUUAUUGUUAAAAGCGCUAUACAAAUAAACUUGAUUUGAUUUGA